This 468-nucleotide ribosomal RNA is filed under the name uncultured bacterium. RNAcentral's name for it is "partial 16S ribosomal RNA". It matches the Rfam family "Bacterial small subunit ribosomal RNA", at positions 28 to 507 of the family's 1533-position model. The record is from RNAcentral.
GACGAACGCUGGCGGCGUGCUUAACACAUGCAAGUCGAACGGAAAGGCCCUGCUUUUGUGGGGUGCUCGAGUGGCGAACGGGUGAGUAACACGUGAGUAACCUGCCCUUGACUUUGGGAUAACUUCAGGAAACUGGGGCUAAUACCCGAUAGGAGCUCCUGCUGCAUGGUGGGGGUUGGAAAGUUUCGGCGGUUGGGGAUGGACUCGCGGCUUAUCAGCUUGUUGGUGGGGUAGUGGCUUACCAAGGCUUUGACGGGUAGCCCGCCUGAGAGGGUGACCGGCCACCUGGGGACUGAGAUACGGACCAGACGCCUACGGGAGGCAGCAGUGGGGAAUAUUGCGCAAUGGGCGGAAGCCUGAUGCAGCAACGCCGCGUGCGGGAUGACGGCCUUCGGGGUGUAAACCGCUUUCGCCUGUGACGAAGCGUGAGUGACGGUAAUGGGUAAAGAAGCACCGGCUAACUACGUG